GACGAACGCUGGCGGCGUGCUUAACACAUGCAAGUCGAACGGAAAGGCCCUGCUUUUGUAGGGUGCUCGAGUGGCGAACGGGUGAGUAACACGUGAGUAACCUGCCCUUGACUUUGGGAUAACUUCAGGAAACUGGGGCUAAUACCGGAUAGGAGCUCCUGCUGCAUGGUGGGGGUUGGAAAGUUUCGGCGGUUGGGGAUGGACUCGCGGCUUAUCAGCUUGUUGGUGGGGUAGUGGCUUACCAAGGCUUUGACGGGUAGCCGGCCUGAGAGGGUGACCGGCCACAUUGGGUCUGAGAUACGGCCCAGACUCCUACGGGAGGCAGCAGUGGGGAAUAUUGCACAAUGGGCGGAAGCCUGAUGCAGCAACGCCGCGUGCGGGAUGACGGCCUUCGGGUUGUAAACCGCUUUCGCCUGUGACGAAGCGUGAGUGACGGUAAUGGGUAAAGAAGCACCGGCUAACUACGUG
This 468-nucleotide ribosomal RNA is filed under the name uncultured bacterium. RNAcentral's name for it is "partial 16S ribosomal RNA". It matches the Rfam family "Bacterial small subunit ribosomal RNA", at positions 28 to 507 of the family's 1533-position model. The record is from RNAcentral.